UAAUGAUUCUCAAAUUAUUGUUGCUUCUGAUUUCAUCAAUCUGUUCUUGUUAUCAUGCUCAAUGUUUCUCUUGUGGUGCGCUACAUUCCUGGUUUAGCAGUUUAGAAUGUUAUUGAUUCCUCUUGCUAAACUGGUGGCAAGGAUGUCAGAAACUUAACAUCCUUCUCUCUGUUGCUCAUGUUUGGGUCUGCAGCAGAUAGAACUGCCAUCCUAAUGCAGCACUGGAUUCAGAUUUUAGUCCAGGGCACUUGGAUAUGAUUGAAUUUAGAAUUAUGUAGGAUGAGAAUAAUAGUCUUGUGGGAGGCUCCUAUGUCCAGGCUCCUGGGUUAUCCAAGACAAUCAACAUAAGAUGGGGUUAGUGAUGAACCUUAUAUGCUGUCUGGGUUAUACCUUGUGGGAGGCUCAUAAUAUAUAUAAGAGCUUUCGAAUGCAAGGCUUCAAGGCUUCAAGCAAUUGUUCAACAUGCCAUGUCUUUUCUAGUUAACUUUCUCUUGGGUUGCCUCAAUGCCUGGAGUCUUUAAGAUCAAUUUGGGUGCUUCAGUCAUGGGUACAGGAAGAGCUGGGUUGGGACUUGUCACUCCCAAGUACAAUUCCUUUUGAAGUGCUAUCAGCUAGUCUAUCCAAUUCACGUUCUCAAGAAUGUGCUGCUAGGUUUGGCUCCAAUGGAUUCAUGAGCACUAACGACUAUAAAUGUGGAUAGAGGUCUUUCUCGGCCUACAGAUUCUCUAAAAACCAGCAAUAAUGGCUGUUUGUACUCUUAUCCACCAUAAUGUCUGGUGUGCAAAUGCCCAUAGAAGCACUAUUCGGGGAUCCACUUAAGUCAAUGGCAUCUAACAUGGGACUUGUUUGAAGCUGCAACUGGUCUGGAAGCUAAUGCAUGGUUCAUUCUUCUGAACCUUACGUGCAUGUUUAGGG
This 915-nucleotide long non-coding RNA is filed under the name Elaeis guineensis (African oil palm). Its description in RNAcentral is "long non-coding RNA (EGUI_LNC016843)". Lineage: Eukaryota; Viridiplantae; Streptophyta; Magnoliopsida; Arecales; Arecaceae. The record is from RNAcentral.